Molecule: RNase P RNA, 339 nt
Filed under: Saccharomonospora azurea
Lineage: Bacteria; Bacillati; Actinomycetota; Actinomycetes; Pseudonocardiales; Pseudonocardiaceae
Description: partial ribonuclease P RNA
Rfam family: Bacterial RNase P class A
About the family: Ribonuclease P (RNase P) is a ubiquitous endoribonuclease, found in archaea, bacteria and eukarya as well as chloroplasts and mitochondria. Its best characterised activity is the generation of mature 5'-ends of tRNAs by cleaving the 5'-leader elements of precursor-tRNAs.
Source: RNAcentral
GAGGAAAGUCCGGGCUCCACAGGGCAGGGUGGUUGCUAACAGCAACCCGGGGUGACCCGCGGGACAGUGCCACAGAGAACAGACCGCCCGGCCGUCUCGGCCGGGUAAGGGUGAAACGGUGGUGUAAGAGACCACCAGCGCCUCGGGUGACCGGGGCGGCUCGGUAAACCCCACCCGGAGCAAGGCCAAGAGGGAGCCGCGAGGCUCCUGCGCAGGCGUUCGAGGGCGGCCCGUCCGAUGCCUGCGGGUAGGCCGCUGGAGCCUGUCGGCGACGGCAGGCCAAGAUGGAUGGUCGCCCAGCGUCCGCCGCGAGGCGGGCGUGGACAGAACCCGGCGUAG